CAACUUUUAACAACGGAUCUCUUGGCUCUCGCAUCGAUGAAGAACGCAGCGAAAUGCGAUAAGUAAUGUGAAUUGCAGAAUUCAGUGAAUCAUCGAAUCUUUGAACGCACAUUGCGCUCUUUGGUAUUCCGAAGAGCAUGCCUGUUUGAGUGUCAU
Molecule: ribosomal RNA, 156 nt
Filed under: Bullera coprosmae
Lineage: Eukaryota; Fungi; Basidiomycota; Tremellomycetes; Tremellales; Bulleraceae
Description: Hannaella coprosmae 5.8S ribosomal RNA
Rfam family: 5.8S ribosomal RNA
About the family: 5.8S ribosomal RNA (5.8S rRNA) is a component of the large subunit of the eukaryotic ribosome. It is transcribed by RNA polymerase I as part of the 45S precursor that also contains 18S and 28S rRNA.
Source: RNAcentral